Molecule: non-coding RNA, 6512 nt
Organism: Xyrichtys novacula (pearly razorfish)
Lineage: Eukaryota; Metazoa; Chordata; Actinopteri; Labriformes; Labridae
Source: the annotation of a GenBank genome assembly
AGAGUGCUUUUUGAUAAAAAACACAAACAUUACAAAGAUAACCACCUGAAGGACAACUUGUGGAGAGUCAUAGCGUUGGAUUUCUCAUAUGACGAUGGUUUGUGUGCUUUAACAGUUUGCUAAACGUCUUUGUUUUAACUUUCAUCUGUGCUAAGUAACUUUAGCUCGUAAGCUAACCUGUUCAGAUACAACAUACCAUAUGUAUUUUCACUGUCUCAAACUCAAUCGCGUUGCUGUCACAGCACCAUUAGGUCUGGGUUGUUACCUUACGUUUAUGGAUUAUAGUUUAAUGUGCUUAUCUGGUACUGGCCCUGACUCAGUACAUGCUAUCAUGACAGACAGUCAUCUCAACACUAGUGUCUAAUCAGAGCUGAAAAACAGUCAGUCUGCUGUUGUGUCAGUCUCCUUUUUUCCCCCCGGAAAGUCACAAAAUUGCAUCGGGCUUGAUGUGUAUAGUCAGGCACGUCAAAAUUUGCCUCAGAACAUUUCGUAAUUUCGUGUCGUAUAUUUGCGUCGGUCCCGGUGUGUCAGGACCUGAAGUCUUGUAUCUUGAUUAUUUUUAUUCUUUCCUCUAAGGUUGUUUCCUCUCAUAUUGGUGCAGAGAAACAGCCAGGGUUAAAUCAAACCAACUCUAUCAAGACGGAAAAUACAUGUUUCUGCUAAUAAAAGAAGUGUUGAUGUCCUGUUUUCCCCUCAUGCUCCACCGAGUGGAAGCAGAUGUGUACAAUCUCCUAAGUUAUUAUGGCCUAUGAUUUUAUAAGUUUUAUGCAGGAGUUGGGGUUUUAAGUCUUUUUAUAUUGGUAAUAAAUGCUGCACUGAAAUUAUCUUAAUAUUUUUACUUUAUGUUUCUAAAUGUGCAGCUGCAUGCAGGGUGUAAACAUUUAGUUCAGCACACAGUCGGUAUCAUCUCCGCAUUAUCCAGAAACACCUCAGCCAUCAUUGCUGCACAUGUUCUGCAGUGAAAUUUUAACACACACAUAAAGAUUCAUGCUGCCUGUAUUUCUGUCUGAUUGUAAUGUCUCUCUCCCUCUCUCUCUCUCUCUCUGCAGGCUCUUCCAGCUUUUAAAAGGGAAAUGUUAGCUUGUUUGUAGCUGCUGGGGGCUGUUACUGUUAUUAAGAGUGAAGAUGCAUGUGGUGAUGCUUUCCUCUCCCAGCAGCCUGCCUUUCUGUAAUCUGGCGGGUAAAUAGCGUUUGGCUGCAGCCCAGUCCCUGCGCAGCAUUUUGAUCACACUCCUGUGACAGCGAACACCUGUGGACGACGGCUGAAGAUAAGACUUGUCAAGCAAGCCGAGCAGCGGCGGCAUCCCUGCAUACUGAUGGCCUGGAGGACGCUGUCUCAAGGUAAUUCUCUUCUGAAGGCCUUUUCACCAACAUGGGCGCAGAAAUUUUAAUUAGCAGCGUUAAUGUGAAUGAUUAAAUCAACCCGGCACUGCUGAUCUCUGAGCAAAGAAAGAGCCGGAAUAAUCCUGAGCGGAGAUACUCCCUCCGGCUCGUCUUUUGACAGUUUCUGAGAGCAAACUGUAUGUCACAUUUGGAUUCAGGACGAGAUGCACUCUUUAUUUGUUUCAGCUCUGAUAGCAGGUACCGAGUGGAAUGAAAUGUGACAGUAUUGUACCCGUAAUUACCAGAUAAGGAUGUCUGUUUUUCAGCGCAAAUCCACCUCCUGUCACAAUCUGUCUUUGUUAAGAGCUGUCAUUGUACCGAAACAGAAGGUCAGGAAAGCUUUCAGACCUUUAAUAGAACUAAACUUUGUUUUAUUUAAAAGUUAUUAGAGUCUUUUACAAGCGUUCAUGUACUUUUUAUCAUGUUACUGAUAAACUUAUUUGAAUGAAACUUCAUUUUUAACAUCAAAUGGGCUUAAAGCUGGUCUCCUUUUUACAUAUUCGGGUCCAAAAAGUUAAGAAUUGCUUUACUUUUCAUCAGUCUUCAGCGUCUACCAGCCACCAAGUUUUAUUCAUCCAACCAACGUGUGUGAACUUAAAGUUGAAACUGUUUGCUUAAAAGUCUGAAAACAUAACAAACAGGUUCCCCACAUUAACCUUUUUCGAUGGAGAUGAAUUUUGAGUAGAAUCAGCUGUUGCAUCAUCCUCAAAUUUCCACCGAAUGUGGAACAGCGGUAAAAAGGCUAUCAGCACCGAUCGCCACUGAUUGUUUCCAUGCAAGAUCAUGUGUCAAUUUCCACUUGCUUCUUUCCAGCCCCCUGCAGUUAAGCGGGCUUCGCAGCAUGCCGCAUAAAUUUAUCACAGAUUAGCCCCGUGCUGGAAAGGAAGUCGGGUACAGACACGAAUUAAAACAUCCGUCUUCUUCUCAAAAUAAAACACAAUGUGCCUCAGGUGGAUCGUACUUCACACCAUGCAAACGUGGGCGGGGAUGUACUCAUACAUUUUUUAGUUUAUUAUCUGUUUCGUAGAUAAAGAUAAAUACGGUUGUGUCUGAUCUACUGGGCUUGACAGAGUGGAUUUACAUUUCCAUUGCAUUUGAAUUCGCAGGUUCUUGUGAGUCCUCACAAUUCCUACUGUCCGAAAUUCGCCAUGAAAAUCACCUCAAAAAUGCAUCCGGUAGGAAUUGCCAGAUGGCUAAAAUCUCUGCCAUUCCGCAGUGGUGCUGUUCCAAAUACGGUGGAAAUUUGGGGUUAAAAGUAUCUAGACUAUAUCAUCAAAGACAAAGGGUAGGUAGGUAGUGCACAAAUGUAAACUAAAGCUUGUAAUAAUGGAAAUCAGGCUGUAGCUCCUGAUCUGCUUUAAUUUGAUUGAAAGAGGUGAACGUUUUAUCUAAACAACAAUCAGCUGAUGGGAUGUUGAUCAGUGAAGGUUGUAUCUCUGCAAAUCUACCAAUGACAGUUACCUGAAGAAAUACAACCACAGCUUUAUAUGCACAAAACAUCCUUUUCAAAUGUCUCUCACAAACCAGGAAGACUGGCGGGCACUGGCUUUACACCUUCAUAUCGAAGGCCUAUAGCUCAAAAGUGUUGAUUUAUUUACGAUCAAUAGCAAGAAAGAAAAUGUAUAAAAAGGUUUGUGCACUGAUUUCCCAGAACAAAUCUUCAACCUUCAAACCUGUAAAGACAUUUUAACUCUAGCUAGCUAUAAAAAAAGAGUACAACUUCAUUCUGCUGCUUGAAAAGAUGACUUCUUUCAUAAAAAAAAUAAUUAUAUAUAUAAAGCAGAACUUGCAGCUUUAUGUUCAAACUACAAACUGUCUCUGUAGCAGGAACAUUUUGGUCUAAAAGCAUUUAUUGACUGAUAAUUACAAGUAGGUUGAACACAGAAAUAAACUACAAGGUGCCAUUAAGUCACAAGCAUAACAAUGCACACAGCCUUUGGAGUAUAAUACAGUCUGAUACUAAGACACCGGCAGAACUGAAGGCUAAAAGAAAAGCCUGACACUGAAGCAGGUCCAUGGACACUAACUGUCACAUAUAACAAAUACAUAUACAUUAAUACAGUGUUUCUCAAGUCCAGUCCAACACACCUGAUUCAAAUGAUCAGCUCGUUAUUAAGCCUUUACAGAGCUUGAUAACGAGCUGAUCAUUUGAAUCAGGUGUGUUGGAGCAGGGAAACAUCCAAAACAGUGGGCCUCGAGGACUGGACCCUAGGAGCACCUCCAGAGUUUUGGUACCUUUUAAAAAAUUUAAUUUGGCCCCACCAGCUCAAGAGGUUCUUGUGUUUUCCAUCAGAGGUAGACUCAGGCCCUGUACUGAUGGCUGUUAUUUUUCACCUCCUGCUCAUUGGGCUGAUUAAUCAGAAUAUAAAGAUCCUCCUUCUGGUGUCUUCAAGAUUAAUUUUCAAACAAAUCACAACCUUUUUGUACAAAUUAUAUUUCUAAUUCAGUUUAACGUCCAAACCUUCAAAUCCAAACGCAAGCUGAAAUAUUGUUCUUAAGGUUUGGAGAUUGCUAGAGGUGCUUUCUUUGUGCCUUUCAUGAUGUUUACAAAACUUCCUCCCUACCUUUAAUCACUCCAUUAUUCUCAGACUAAUAAGUUAGAAAAGCUGGCCUUUGACAGCAGAAAUUUCCCUCACUAUCACCUCCAUCCACCUUGUUUCUGAGGUUAAAAAAUCUCCACAAAAAUUCUGAAUUGUUCCCUCCAUUUCUGACCGGCUCCCCCCGUCCUCCUCUCCUGGCUGCCCUUGUAUGUAAAUUCACAGAUACAUUCACCCUCAUUACAGAUAGCGGUAAUGAGAAACAGGGAAAAGAGCAUGUACUUGUCACUAUUGGCUGCAGUCUGUUGAUAAAUAGUCCCAAUUAGCCGUAACCUUCAAGGAGCCACUCGAGGUUUUACCACGAAAUCAGCUUUGUUUGCCCGGAACAAGUCCUCGUGUUCAAGUGAUUGAACACCUCAAAACUAGUAAAGAACUAAGUUUAUCCUCUGCACGCCUCGAGAGUUUCAACUUAAGGUUGUCCUUUAGAGGGGAGCUGAAUCUGGUUCUGGUGCUUCACGGUUUGAGAGAUUUAUUACUCAGAGAAAACUCUUUGCACUGAGAAAACACAGCUUUUUCAAGAGUACAAGCAGUUUUUAACCACCACUUUUUUUAGUGACAUUCAGCAGCUUUUCUUAGAUAUCAUUACGGUUUUCCUUGGGUCUGUCAGAACUUAUAAGUGGCCUCCAGUAAACCUGGUGUAGAGGUCAGAUGGUAUUGCUUUACAAGUAAAAAUACACUGGGGUCAUCUGCAAAUUGCUGAAGAUGUCCAACCCCCAAAAAUCAAAGAAUGCAAACGUACAUUUUCAUCGGUAACAAAGAAACAAGAUGUGUGGUACACUAUAGACUGAAUAUAGUAUGGACAACUUGGCUCCGCCUUCUGUCAUUAUACGAAUUCAAAUUACUUCCUGGAACCCCCACUUGCAUGGUAGCAUGGUACGCAUUCGGUGAGAGAGUAGCCAAGAAUCGCUGUGAUGACGCUCGGCUCAAACUGCGUAUCCCCUGGGUGAGCCGCAAUCUUCGUAUGUCCAUAGGCUGUAUCAAGUGUCAAUCAUAGAAAACAUGAACCCCCCAAUUACUAUCAGAAUGGAGCUGCACAGAUAAAAAAAGACUUGAGCAACGGUCUUACAGCAACUACAUGUCAAUAUUGCAACCGGGGGGGAGAAAAAUUCAUAUUCUGUGUAAUUAGUUUCUAAAGUUUGUCCACAGCUCCAUAGGGAUUGCUGGAGGAGGCGGGAUAUGACCUAUGAUUAAUGACCUAUACUGCAGCCCAUGACCUGAGGGUGCUGUUCUCGGGAUGGCUUCACCCAGCGAGGAGGCAGACGGCGUCCAUUCUAUACGCAGUCGAUGUGGUACACUGAGUCAACGGUUUGUAGGGUGGAUAUUGAUGCAUGCAUGUCCAGUAUAUCAGCAUAAUCAAUCACAGACAGAAAUGGAGCCUCCACAAGUUUGAUUAUUGGCAAUGGAAAGUACAUAUCUAAAAUAAAAGCUCCACUUUAGCUUUUUAAAAAGAGUCAUAACAUACAUUAAAUGAGGGUUUUUUGUUUAUCAAAAUAUACAAGUAGUUGUUCAAGGUCACAUUUCAAGGGUUUUCCAUCUGGAAAAGAUGCAAAGAAAAGAAGGAGGGGUGAAAAUAUGAAGCAUGUCAAAGGAUUUAUGCUGUGUUCCAUUUGUGCUUGGAUUUUCCGAGUUCCCAUUCAGAAAUUCACCUGGAACGCCCCCCUGAAGUUGAAUUUCUGACUUGUAAAGUCAGAUGAUCCUCACCAACCCCAACUUGAUGACAACUUCAUAAUCCAAGAUGGCAGCACAGUGCCUCAACAGUAAAGAGUAACAGUGAAAGCUCUCGUAAUGUAUUAUUUAUUAGCACUUCCGUUUUGUUUUAGUGAAAUUAAAUAAAUGGUAUAUGUUGCACUGCCCAAUGUCUAACUUUGAACAAGGUUCUAUAGUGUUUCUAAAAGGUCCUUUCACACUGGGACCAUUUUUGUCGUGCGAUUAUUUCAGACGUCAAUAUUUUUUUAUAACCCGUAUCCUGUCAAUACAAGCGUUCACAUCAGCUUCUGACCAAUCAGAUUUUCGUGCUGUUGCGACGUCAGCUUCACCAGUAUAUCCAACAUGGCAGAACAGAGUGCUUUUUGAUAAAAGACACAAAAUUUUGCAAAGAUAACAACCUGAAGGACAACUUGUGGAGGGUCAUAGCAUUUGAUUUCUCACAUGACAACGUUUUGUGUGCUUUAUCAGUUUGCUAAACGUCUCUGUUUUAACUUUCAUCUGUGCUAAGUAACUUUAGCUCGUAAGCUAACCUGUUCAGAUACAACAUACCAUAUGUAUUUUCACUGUCUCAAACUCAAUCACAUUGCUGUCACAGCACCAUUAGGUCUCAGUUGUUACCUUACGUUUAUGGAUUAUAGUUUAAUGUGCUUAUCUGGUACUGGCCCUGACUCAGUACAUGCUAUCAUGACAGACAGACAUCUCAACACUAGUGUCUAAUCAGAACUGAAAAACAGUCAGUCUGCUGUUGUGUCAGUCUUCUCGCUUCCACCCAGGACGCGUCUUUUUCCCCCCGGAAAGUUGCAAAAUCGCAUUGUGCUUAAUGUG